AAGCAGCCAGCCCACAUUGAUAGGUAGUGAAUUACAUACGAUAGGAUGUUCCAGCCCUGAAUGACAGAAGUGUGGAAAAUUGCUCUGAUUGCCUUCUGAAGAGUUUAGGAACAAGGCAGCAAAAAUUACGCUUGUCCUCCUCUCUGGUCCUCUCCCUGGUCUUUGGUUCUGUGUUGUGAUUGAUCCUGUUCUAGCCACUGAAACAUGACUUGGAAUAAGACUUGUCGACUUCAUGAUUGUCUAAGAAAUGGUAGGGAGGAGCAUAGGCUAAUUGCUCAUGGAAUUAUAAAGCUUUAUCAAGUACCUCCAAAGCCAUUAAAAAUCUGUUUGGUAUACAAAUAAUUGAGCUUCUUAUAAAAGUGUUGAGUAUAGUCAGGCAGCUGAUGUGAUAACAGGGGUCUAUAAAAAGACUAUUAAUCUUUGGUCUGUGGUGUAACCCUGCAGGACUCUUCAACCAAGCGUUCGGCCCCUGUCUCCGGAUGGGAAGAGUAAGUCCAAGGUGCAGGGUUCUUGGUGUUGGGCAGGGUUAUCCUUGGGCCUUCCUAAGUCUGGGCUGGUUUGUUUUUCUUCAUUAAGAGUUUUUUCCUGGGCUGCUUAAGCUUUUCUUUCUUUGGUGCUGCUUUCAUUUCCUCUUUUGGGAGGGGAAACUUCAGUUUGGGAAGUGCUUUGUAAGAACAACUUGGACGUUUUUCUGAUCUUGUCUGCUCAAUCUCUAGGAAUUUCCAAAGAGGAAUUUUUGAGCAAGACACCUGCUGAAAGGUCAGAAUGCGGAAGUGAAGGCAAAGGUGCCUGCAGCUGCUGUUCCUGCCCCAGUGGAUGCCUGGAAAAGUACAGGACAAGUGCCUGGGCAGCAGGUUCAAUGUUGAGAGACGUACUUCAAUGGGAAGGUGGUACAGCUCUUUCCUGCUCACAGGUCUUUGAGGAGUCAAUCCAGCCAUGGCUACGGGAGAGAAAUAAUAAUCAUCGUAUGGAAGAACCACCAUUAAUCCAGAUGAUAAUUGGCAGUUGGCCCUUUGGGGCUUCAGACAGAGAGUCUUUCCCCAGCGCCACCUGGAGAUGCUGAGGAUUGAACCUGGGACCUUGUGGAUCCAGAACAGAUGCUCUGUUGUUCUACUUCUGGAGCACCUUGGGGUCCCCAUGCCUGGUUAUUGGACUCCAACUACUCCUGACUGUUGGCCAUGCUGACUGGGGCCAAUGGCAGCACACCUGGAGAAGGACACAUUCUGCAACUCUAUUUCUUUUCAAAGAAUGAAAACCAUUUUGCAGCCUGUAGCCAGAAUGAAGGCAAGAUAUCCUUUGAAGUUGGGGAAAGAGCCACAGGGGUGGUGGUUGUGGUGAGACUUUAUUUCUAUGCCACCUGUCCAUUACCCAGGUGAGGGAACACCUUUUAAAUGACACACAUACCGAGAGAAUCAAGAAUAUACACCCAGGGUCUCUGGCUGUUACAUCCUUGUGAUGGGCCAAGUAUCUCUGGCAGCGUUAUUCGUAGCUUACACGCCUCAGCCUUUUUGCCCUCAAUUUUU
Long non-coding RNA from Podarcis raffonei (Aeolian wall lizard), 1523 nucleotides. RefSeq lists it as uncharacterized. The transcript has 3 exons. The record is from RefSeq and is a predicted model, not a curated record. NCBI's taxonomy places the organism in Eukaryota, Metazoa, Chordata, Lepidosauria, Squamata, Lacertidae.